Podarcis raffonei (Aeolian wall lizard) is the source of this 434-nucleotide long non-coding RNA. RefSeq lists it as uncharacterized. Lineage: Eukaryota; Metazoa; Chordata; Lepidosauria; Squamata; Lacertidae. The transcript has 2 exons. The record is from RefSeq and is a predicted model, not a curated record.
AAGAAACUUACUUCAAGAUGGGACUUCUGUGGACUUCAUCUCUUGCCUUCCACCACAAAGGUUGCAAAAGAUGGAGAGCAAAGGCCAUUGAAAUGCAUAGAGAACUGUUGUGGCUAGAAUGUGGGGUCCAGGGACUUCAUUGUUAUACUGGCUGGAGCUGCCAGGAGUUGUAGCCUGAAACAUCCGGAGGGCACCAGGUUGGCAGCGGCUAGAAAUCUCUUAUCAUAGGUAUGGGGAACCCAUGGACUCUAAACUCCAACUAGUCCCAGCCAGCAUGGCCAACAGCAAGGGACAAUGGGAGCUGUAGCUUGGCAACAUGUGGAGGAUGCAAAUCUGUUUUAUCACAAAGUAACAGCCCUAGAAGGUCCCACAUGACAAUCUACCGCAUACGUUUUGAGAUAUGUAUCACAGCUCAUUAAAACACCAUUCUGGAA